Molecule: ribosomal RNA, 501 nt
Filed under: Pasteurella multocida
Lineage: Bacteria; Pseudomonadati; Pseudomonadota; Gammaproteobacteria; Pasteurellales; Pasteurellaceae
Description: bacterial SSU rRNA
Rfam family: Bacterial small subunit ribosomal RNA
Source: RNAcentral
CUGGCGGCAGGCUUAACACAUGCAAGUCGAACGGUAGCAGGAAGAAAGCUUGCUUUCUUUGCUGACGAGUGGCGGACGGGUGAGUAAUGCUUGGGAAUCUGGCUUAUGGAGGGGGAUAACUGUGGGAAACUGCAGCUAAUACCGCGUAUUCUCUGAGGAGGAAAGGGUGGGACCUUAGGGCCACCUGCCAUAAGAUGAGCCCAAGUGGGAUUAGGUAGUUGGUGGGGUAAAGGCCUACCAAGCCUGCGAUCUCUAGCUGGUCUGAGAGGAUGACCAGCCACACUGGAACUGAGACACGGUCCAGACUCCUACGGGAGGCAGCAGUGGGGAAUAUUGCGCAAUGGGGGGAACCCUGACGCAGCCAUGCCGCGUGAAUGAAGAAGGCCUUCGGGUUGUAAAGUUCUUUCGGUAAUGAGGAAGGGAUGUUGUUAAAUAGAUAGCAUCAUUGACGUUAAUUACAGAAGAAGCACCGGCUAACUCCGUGCCAGCCGCCGCGGUAAU